AGUAUCUCUGGUUGGAUAUUUCUCCUUGUGUCCCAGUGAAUCUAGAUGUUCGUUUGCUUUCUUUUGGACCCCAGUUAGAAGAAUCCCAAUUCUCAGAUACAAGCAGAAGGAAGUCCUGAGCAGAAACACUCAGGUCAGGGAGAUGAGACUCCCCAGGGACUUUCUACUGCUGCUGAAAGAGCUAAAGGUUUAAGACUCUCAUCUGCUCCACAAAAACAGGAAGGACAGGAAUCUGGUUGCCACAGAUGAGGCUCUGCAGUGUGUGUGGAGGCACGUUCCUUUCUGCUGGCACUGCUACAAGAUGGAUUGUUCUGCAGUCAGUUGGGUGGGUAGCUGGGGGAAGUGGGAUCCACCAGGAAAG
Long non-coding RNA from Tympanuchus pallidicinctus (lesser prairie-chicken), 361 nucleotides. RefSeq lists it as uncharacterized. The transcript has 4 exons. The record is from RefSeq and is a predicted model, not a curated record. Lineage: Eukaryota; Metazoa; Chordata; Aves; Galliformes; Phasianidae.